GAUGAACGCUAGCGGCAGGCCUAACACAUGCAAGUCGAGGGGCAGCACAUAAAGUGGUUUACUACUUUUGGUGGCGACCGGCGGACGGGUGCGUAACGCGUAUGCAACCUGCCUCCAACAGGGGGAUAACGGAGAGAAAUUUCCACUAAUACCCCAUAAUAUCAGAAUCGGCAUCGGUUUUGGUUGAAAACUCCGAUGGUUGGAGAUGGGCAUGCGUUGUAUUAGAUAGUUGGUGAGGUAACGGCUCACCAAGUCAACGAUACAUAGGGGGACUGAGAGGUUAGCCCCCCACACUGGGACUGAGACACGGACCAGACUCCGACGGGAGGCAGCAGUGAGGAAUAUUGGUCAAUGGGGGCAACCCUGAACCAGCCAUGCCGCGUGCAGGAAGACGGCUCUAUGAGUUGUAAACUGCUUUUACAAGGGGAUAAAUCGGUGUACGUGUACACCGUUGAAGGUACCUUGGGAAUAAGGAUCGGCUAACUCCGUGCCAGCCGCCGCCGUAA
Molecule: ribosomal RNA, 506 nt
Filed under: uncultured bacterium
Lineage: Bacteria
Description: partial 16S ribosomal RNA
Rfam family: Bacterial small subunit ribosomal RNA
Source: RNAcentral